Molecule: long non-coding RNA, 1596 nt
Organism: Notolabrus celidotus (New Zealand spotty)
Lineage: Eukaryota; Metazoa; Chordata; Actinopteri; Labriformes; Labridae
Exons: 4
Source: RefSeq, a predicted model, not a curated record
UGAGGCACAUUUUAUAAAUAAAAAUUACAAGAUUUUUUUUUAUACCGCUAUUGUUUUUGGUUUAUUUUCAUUGGUCGGCAGAGGCAGUCAGAUCCGUCCACUGAUGAUUACGCAUGGAGAAGAUGACAAGGACGACGAGAGAACGCACACAUUAGCAGCAUUACCUUAUGUUGUGUUGUACUGUUUAAGGUUCAGUGUCAGAAGAAACCUGUAGUCAACGAAGCUACUCCACGUUUCCUCGUCAAUGUGAAGUGAGGCGCGUGAGAAGUCAGAAGUCCAUUAAACAAGUUAAAGUGAAGUUUUUUGAGAACUCCAGGGUCAACCAUUCUGUUACGUUUCGCCGCUGUUUCUGUGUGUUUUUCUUCUGUGACGUCCGACGAGGAUUUGAUGUUUUCAGUUGAACAGCUGGUGUUAGCCACUGGAUUUUUGUUUCAUCAGGAGUGGACUUUUCCAGAUAGACUGUGAGUGUUACCUGGCGAAUUUCUGCUUCGCGGGGAUACGACUGUGUCGGCUGUGACUCAGCUUCUCAAGAAGAGGAUUCCCGGACCAUUAUGUAUGUGACUGUUUCGUUUGUGUAACCAGGACGGAGGACUCUUAAAGGCCGAACCACACCGAGCAUCUAAGAGGAAUGAAUACGAAAUAAAUAUGUCGAGAACCAAAUAUCCAGAAAAUUGAAGUGUCUGCAUGGAUUCAUCAAGUCUGUCAAACUUAGCACUGCACUCCAUGAAGUCUCCCCAUGACUUCUCCCCACCAACAUAAUCUACACUGAAGCCAAACCCCACAGAACCUUUCUGCUCUCCCCACCCCGUGUGUCUUAUUCCCUCGGUACCUCAGAGGAAAUAUAUAUGCUUGCGAGGGUGCACACUUCUUCCAGCAGCAGUAAAGUCAUGUUUCUCUCCCUGGGCCUGGAGCCAAAGGCCAAUGUUGGUGUUUUACUACGAAUCUCCGCUGAACUGCAGCGAUGGCACUUUCCCACCUCAAUCCCUGGCCUCCCCUCCACUCCCCUCCAGCCCCUCAGCCUCUGGGGAUCGCUGAAGAUAAGGAUUGAACAUCUCCGGAUGCCACUUUGCAUAAAUGUUUAAUAGCAGGGAAAACAUUAGCAUCAGUAAUUAAAGCAGUAAUUUAAGCCUAGACGCCAUCAACAGGCGAGCUACUUCCACGCUGAAAUAACACAAGUGAAACACAGUAAUUAGCUUUGCUUUGAUUGGACGGGAGACUGAGUUCAGAAAAUUUGCGCUUGUGUGUGUAUGUGUGUAGUUUUACACUUCUGCGUGCACAUUAAAACGCAGGACAUACUUUUUAUGUGUACCCACUUUCUGUGCAGGAGAGAGCUCACUCUUGCACAUGAUUCUUAGUUGAUCUUUCAUAGCUGUACUAAAGAUUGAUUAGGUGUGAAUGUGUGUUCAAGCCCAGUGCGUCCUUGUGUCAAAUGGCAUUUGACAUUGGUUUGGACAGUGUUUAACUCUGGCCUGAAGAGGUCAAAUAUUGUCUAGCGCUUCCCUAAGGAAGCUGAUGUUGUCCUAUGUCAUCAUCUGUGCCCCGUGAGCCUCUGCCUUCCUCUAAUUCCCUCUAAACUGGAGACUCUAACCUUUCUUU